GCAGUAUGCUUCCUCAAUUCAGAGCCAAUAAUGGGGCACAGCCGGUGCUGUUGGCAUGGCAACAGACGAAAUUUUAAAAGCCGGUCCAUUAACCCAGUUUCAUCAGGACACUCUGACCUGGGCUAAAAUCAGCUUUAUUGUUUUGCGCUGAAGUCUGUCUUCCUUCAUUCUCUCUCUCUCUCAGGCCAUGAGGACUGAACAGGCUAGACAGGAGCUCAUUAACCAGGGCAGUGUGUCAGCGGCCAAGACCCUGGAGAGAAUCAGAGGUCCCCAGGUGUCACCGCAUCUGGCGGAAGAGGCCCAGAAGAGAGAGCGAUUCGAAGAGAUGAAACGGCAGCUGGAGCUCGACCAGGAGGAUGGAUCUGAUCGCUCCGUACAGUCAGUUAUCUGAAGCCGAAAGCUUAAUGUGGAAGGUGCAGAGGAUGAAACUCGAUGAGCGCAGGGUGAACUUCCUGCAGCAAGAACAAAUGAAUGUACAGCUCUCAGAGCAGCAGAAUCUACGAGAGCAGCAAAUAGCAGAUUCUGUUCUCCCAGAAUCCUCUGUUCCUCCCUGUCCUCCUGCCAUUGAUGAAGCUCAAGCUCUCAUAUCAGAGGAAAGCAACAUUGCUGACUUCAUUCCCAAGCCUCCACGUAUCCCUUAUAGUGGUGCCGUGACCCAUUCCCUUCACAACAUUGGAUCUGACCCCUGCAAUCUCCCCAGAAACCCCACCCACAGCAGCCACACCCAUCAACCUCCCACAUAUGUGUCGGUGAAUACGUAAUGGAAUUCCUAGAGUCUGUCUCUGUACCUAAUAUACUCAGACAUGCUUCCAAGUCCAGCUUCCCACUAGGUCACUUCACUCCAGAGGUGCCAGCAGGCGUCACCCAAAGGCUAGUAUUCAUGGACACCCUUCACAGAGCUCCGUACAGCUGGGAGGCUCCACCGCCUCGGGGCAGAACACGGGCCCAAUCCGCUCUGAGUCAAACAUCCCUGCACAAACUACUCAAGAGCGAAAACAUGUGAGACACAGAGAGAUAGCCAGUGUACAGAAAAACAACCGACUGGAGAAGAGACCGCAACAGAGCCCUCGGUGGCCAGCACAGGUUCAGUGCCAAAGCAAGCCGCCCAGGAGCCAACAGAGGAAGCCAAGUCCUGUGAGAGUGUUAGCCAGCCCUCUCACUGUUCUCAGCCAGAGCAAGAACAAUCUGUGUCUCUUCUCAGAAGCUUCCAUGAGUCAGAGUCUGAUUCUGAUACAAGAAAUAACAUCCAGCAUCUGAUCUCAUCUUUGCAGAGACUCCUCUGCAGUCUGUGGCCACGCCCAUAUAAGGAUUGGCGAACAUGUUUCUGAAGUGACAACUCUCCUUUCCAUGCCUAACAUCCAUGGCCACGCCUCUGACGCCCAUAUAAGGAUUGGCGAACAUGUUUCUAAAGUGACAACUCUCCUUUCCAUGCCUAACAUCCAUGGCCACGCCUCUGACGCCCAUAUAAGGAUUGGCGAACAUGUUUCUGAAGUGACAACUCUCCUUUCCAUGCCUAACAUCCAUGGCCACGCCUCUGACGCCCAUAUAAGGGUUGGCGAACAUGUUUCUGAAGUGAUAACUCCCCUUUCCACACCUAACAUCCAUGGCCACGCCUCUGACGCCCAUAUAAGGGUUGGUGAACAUGUUUCUGAAGGGUGGUGUCAGGGAGUUUGAACCGACCCAGACGUCCAACCAAAUCUGACCAACACCAGAAGAUGCAGAGAAACCUUGCGUAAUAAUCGCCCCCUAGUGAGCCAUUCGCUCUGGAUGAGGGACUGUCUGCCUGGGUUCUGGGACUGGGAUUGUCUCCUAAAGGGAGUCCAGAGUACUGCUAUCUUCUCAGCCUGGCUUCACAGUACCAGGACUCGUAUGGUCUGAUGAGUGAGUACUGGACCG
Long non-coding RNA from Carassius carassius (crucian carp), 1896 nucleotides. RefSeq lists it as uncharacterized. The record is from RefSeq and is a predicted model, not a curated record. The transcript has 5 exons. NCBI's taxonomy places the organism in Eukaryota, Metazoa, Chordata, Actinopteri, Cypriniformes, Cyprinidae.